GAUGAACGCUGGCGGCGUGCCUAAUACAUGCAAGUCGAGCGAACAGACGAGGAGCUUGCUCCUCUGACGUUAGCGGCGGACGGGUGAGUAACACGUGGAUAACCUACCUAUAAGACUGGGAUAACUUCGGGAAACCGGAGCUAAUACCGCAUAAUAUAUUUAACCGCAUGGUUCAAUAUUGAAAGACGGUUUUGCUGUCACUUAUAGAUGUAUCCGCUCCGCAUUAGCUAGUUGGUAAGGUAACGGCUUACCAAGUCAACGAUGCGUAGCCGACCUGAGAGGGGGAUGGGCAAAACUGGAACUGAGAAACGGUCCAGACUCCAACGGGAGGCAGAAGUAGGGAAUCUUCCGAAAUGGGCGAAAGCCUGACGGAGAAACGCCGCGUGAGUGAUGAAGGUCUUCGGAUCGUAAAACUCUGUUAUUAGGGAAGAACAAAUGUGUAAGUAACUAUGCACGUCUUGACGGUACCUAAUCAGAAAGCCACGGCUAACUACGUG
This 497-nucleotide ribosomal RNA is filed under the name uncultured bacterium. RNAcentral describes it as "partial 16S ribosomal RNA". It matches the Rfam family "Bacterial small subunit ribosomal RNA", at positions 28 to 507 of the family's 1533-position model. The record is from RNAcentral.